AACGAACGCUGGCGGCAUGCCUAACACAUGCAAGUCGAACGAGACGGUCGGGCCUAGUGGCGCAGGGGUGCGUGACGCGGGGGAAGUUGCCCGUAGGUUCGGUACACCUCCCUGUAAGGGGUGUUAAUACAGGUUAAGCUCUUCGGACAAAGGAUCUUUUGCUUUAGGGUGGGGGCGGGUUAGUUUAGCUGGUUGGUAGGGUAAAAGCAGACCAACGGGUCGAUGCAUAGCUGGUCGGAGAGGAAGACCAGCCACACUGGGACUAAGACACGGCCCAGACUCCUACGGAAGGGAGCAGUGGGGAAUAUUGGACAAUGGGCGAAAGCCUGAUCCAGCAGUGCCGCGUGAGUGAUGAAGGCCUUAGGGUUGUAAAGCUCUUUUACCCGGGAUGAUAAUGACAGUACCGGGAGAAUAAGCUCCGGCUAACUCCGUG
RNAcentral lists this ribosomal RNA (433 nucleotides) under uncultured bacterium. RNAcentral's name for it is "partial 16S ribosomal RNA". It matches the Rfam family "Bacterial small subunit ribosomal RNA", at positions 29 to 507 of the family's 1533-position model. The record is from RNAcentral.